Molecule: long non-coding RNA, 2303 nt
Organism: Pogoniulus pusillus (Red-fronted tinkerbird)
Lineage: Eukaryota; Metazoa; Chordata; Aves; Piciformes; Lybiidae
Exons: 2
Source: RefSeq, a predicted model, not a curated record
UCACUGACGCAAUUGCGGGUGACGGCUCGGAGUGGGGCUGCGCAGAUGCGCUGUCCCUGUCGCUCCGUAAUGGCGCCUUGGGGCGUGGUUGCGGAUAAGAUGGCGCCUGCGGCGCGGGCCGUUGAGCCGGGAUGGGCGCCGGCAUGGUCUGCGGAAUCAGAACCUGCAACGGAGCCUGCUGAGGCAAAAUCGGUUGAAAAGACAUCGCUGCUGAGCCGUUUGCGGCUGUGGGGGCGGCUGCGGCUUAGACGGUAUCGGAGCCGCUGGCGGCAGAGCCGUCUGGGCUUGCGGCAGGGGCUGAGAAGGCAGAACAAUUAUCUGUGGAGAGAGCGGCGGCGGCAUGGGCUGAGACGUCCGCCGAAUUGAGGUCCGCGGCAGAGGGAAGGGUGCUGCCCUACGCGCGGCUGCGGGGACUGCGAUGGCGACAUUCGCAGCUGUAAUUCCUGAAAGGCUUGGAGAAACUUCCCCUCUAGCCUCUCCUCCAACUCCCGAAGUCGUUCAUCGGUUACCGCGGUGAAGUCUGAGGAAAGUAUUUCUACUCCCUCACCCUUCUUAAACCAGGAGCUUCCUCACAUCCCCUUGACCCACGGGGAACGGAAUGAAAACUCUGGUGGGAUAAUUCCUUCACAGACAUUCAUGGCUCCUUAGCCGCAGCACACAGGCUGCUGAACGGUGACAGCUCUAUCCGUGCCUGCAGCUGCCUUAACACCCGCAGUCCGAGGUACACACACGUUGUGGGAGCAAAGCAUGAUCUUUCUCAGUACACAUCGUUCAGAAUAGGAGAGCUUAAGAACAACUGGGUCACAUCUGACUGCUACCAUCUGUCCCACUUCACUCCAAGAUUACCCAGGAAUGUAUUUCACAUGUGCCUUUGGAACAAGCUUGUGAGCUGCCAAGAAGAGAAUAUUUUACAGCUGACUGUUGGGUUUCACUGUGAGCAGUUCAAACGCAACGACACAAGGAGGAGGAUUCCACCAGAGGGUAUCACAAAGGCCAUUUGGGCUCAGCCCCCUUUGUCUGCAGAAUUGUGUGAGAUGGGACUCCUUGUGGGUUGCUGGGUUGGGUUUAAGGGUCUGCAUUUGGGAAAGCAGCUUCCCCAUUGAAAGCCAUCUUUUAGCACAGAGGCCUGGGUAGGCAGCUGGCCUUGAGUUGAAAUGCAGUUCUGCCUUUCACAAGGAAGAUGACCUUGCACAAAUGGCACCUCAGGAGCACUGGUAGUGAGAACUGUGACUGGGUGAAGCCACCUCAAAUGAAGCCUAGAUACAUCAAAGUAUCACUACCUUCGUAAUGGGGGAACUUACCCCCAAAGAGCUUCACCCUUAUGUCUCAGUUUCUCUGCAUGUGGAAUGAGGACAUGUCACUUCUGUAAAACUGAGUGCUGCCCUGCCAGAAUGAUGCAUGCAUUUAGAUAAAGGUCAGCAUUGUUUAAUAGUACAUUUUAACACAUCUGAAAAUUGGUGCUGUGGUGGUGAUGGUCGUUGUUUGCAAAGAUGCACAAAUUUCUCCUUGGCCAACUGGCACCGGAAGCAGGAACUUACAUAUUGAAGAGGGACCUUGCUUUGUUCCAGGAAAAGCUAUUCACAGCAGCCUCCAUGGCACAGCUGUGGAUGCAGACAUCAGGCUGGAGAGGAGCUCCUUGACCAUGGAGCAGACCUACCUGUCCCUGUGCACCCACAGGACCCUGCUCAUCCACAAUGGCAGUGAUGUGAUGGCUCACUUACAGUGGAAGGCUUCUGCCCAUCAGGAGGAUGGGCAGCAGAAGCAGAGGUUGGUUGGAAAGCUGCACUGCAGGAAGAUCCCUGCCCAAGGGUGGCACUCAAGUGUGGCCUCAAGGGCCCCUGGUGCCUUGCAAUGGUUGAGGCCAGUAAACCAGUUGAGGCCAGUGGAGCCUCAUGAAAUCUUAACCACUACUCGUGCAGCCAGAGAGGCUCUCCGCACAACUUUUGCAGCUGUCACAAAGCCACCACCAUGGACCACCAUAAGACAAAGUGAAAAUGAAAGCUUCAAAAAAUUUGUGGAUCGCUUGCAAACUGCAAUCGAUUUCUCAGUCCUACCUGAAGAAGCAAAGAAUCAAACAAUGACAGAAUGCACACGGCAACAAUGUAAUUCAGCAACCGGAGAGAUACUGUGAACACUGCAAAGAGGAGCAAGCAUUGCAGACGUGAUCAGGCACGUUGUGAAAGAGGAGGACCUUCCAAUCCAAGAGGCUGUCCGCACUGCAAUGGCUAAGAUGCAAGAAACUGUGAAUGCUGUAUACACGCAGUAGCCAAUCCCCAGAAAAGGCACCAUAUCAGUCAUCCAUA